UCGAGCGCACCUUCGGGUGAGCGGCGGACGGGUUAGUAACGCGUGGGAACGUACCCUUUUCUACGGAAUAGCCUUUGGAAACGAAGAGUAAUACCGUAUACGCCCUUUGGGGGAAAGAUUUAUCGGAGAAGGAUCGGCCCGCGUUAGAUUAGAUAGUUGGUGGGGUAACGGCCUACCAAGUCUACGAUCUAUAGCUGGUUUUAGAGGAUGAUCAGCAACACUGGGACUGAGACACGGCCCAGACUCCUACGGGAGGCAGCAGCGGGGAAUCUUAGACAAUGGGCGCAAGCCUGAUCUAGCCAUGCCGCGUGAGUGAUGAAGGCCUUAGGGUCGUAAAGCUCUUUCGCCUGUGAUGAUAAUGACAGUAGCAGGUAAAGAAACCCCGGCUAACUCCGUGCCAGCAGCCGCGGUAAUACGGAGGGGGUUAGCGUUGUUCGGAAUUACUGGGCGUAAAGCGCGCGUAGGCGGAUUGGAAAGUUGGGGGUGAAAUCCCGGGGCUCAACCCCGGAACUGCCUCCAAAACUGCCAGUCUAGAGUUCGAGAGAGGUGAGUGGAACUCCAAGUGUAGAGGUGAAAUUCGUAGAUAUUUGGAAGAACACCAGUGGCGAAGGCGGCUCACUGGCUCGAUACUGACGCUGAGGUGCGAAAGUGUGGGGAGCAAACAGGAUUAGAU
RNAcentral lists this ribosomal RNA (673 nucleotides) under uncultured bacterium. RNAcentral's name for it is "bacterial SSU rRNA". It matches the Rfam family "Bacterial small subunit ribosomal RNA", at positions 62 to 783 of the family's 1533-position model. The record is from RNAcentral.